Molecule: ribosomal RNA, 1343 nt
Filed under: uncultured bacterium
Lineage: Bacteria
Description: 16S ribosomal RNA
Rfam family: Bacterial small subunit ribosomal RNA
Source: RNAcentral
GACGAACGCUGGCGGCGUGUUUAACACAUGCAAGUCGAACGGAAAGGCCCUGCUUUUGUGGGGUGCUCGAGUGGCGAACGGGUGAGUAACACGUGAGUAACCUGCCCUUGACUUUGGGAUGACUUCAGGAAACUGGGGCUAAUACCGGAUAGGAGCUCCUGCUGCAUGGUGGGGGUUGGAAAGUUUCGGCGGUUGGGGAUGGACUCGCGGCUUAUCAGCUUGUUGGUGGGGUAGUGGCUUACCAAGGCUUCGACGGGUAGCCGGCCUGAGAGGGUGACCGGCCACAUUGGGACUGAGAUACGGCCCAGACUCCUACGGGAGGCAGCAGUGGGGAAUAUUGCACAAUGGGCGGAAGCCUGAUGCAGCAACGCCGCGUGCGGGAUGACGGCCUUCGGGUUGUAAACCGCUUUCGCCUGUGACGAAGCGUGAGUGACGGUAAUGGGUAAAGAAGCACCGGCUAACUACGUGCCAGCAGCCGCGGUGAUACGUAGGGUGCGAGCGUUGUCCGGAUUUAUUGGGCGUAAAGGGCUCGUAGGUGGUUGAUCGCGUCGGAAGUGUAAUCUUGGGGCUUAACCCUGAGCGUGCUUUCGAUACGGGUUGACUUGAGGAAGGUAGGGGAGAAUGGAAUUCCUGGUGGAGCGGUGGAAUGCGCAGAUAUCAGGAGGAACACCAGUGGCGAAGGCGGUUCUCUGGGCCUUUCCUGACGCUGAGGAGCGAAAGCGUGGGGAGCGAACAGGCUUAGAUACCCUGGUAGUCCACGCUGUAAACGGUGGGUACUAGGUGUGGGGUCCAUUCCACGGGUUCCGUGCCGUAGCUAACGCUUUAAGUACCCCGCCUGGGGAGUACGGCCGCAAGGCUAAAACUCAAAGGAAUUGACGGGGCCCCGCACAAGCGGCGGAGCAUGCGGAUUAAUUCGAUGCAACGCGUAGAACCUUACCUGGGUUUGACAUGGAUCGGGAGUGCUCAGAGAUGGGUGUGCCUCUUUUGGGGUCGGUUCACAGGUGGUGCAUGGCUGUCGUCAGCUCGUGUCGUGAGAUGUUGGGUUAAGUCCCGCAACGAGCGCAACCCUUGUUCACUGUUGCCAGCACGUUAUGGUGGGGACUCAGUGGAGACCGCCGGGGUCAACUCGGAGGAAGGUGGGGAUGACGUCAAGUCAUCAUGCCCCUUAUGUCCAGGGCUUCACGCAUGCUACAAUGGCUGGUACAGAGAGUGGCGAGCCUGUGAGGGUGAGCGAAUCUCGGAAAGCCGGUCUCAGUUCGGAUUGGGGUCUGCAACUCGACCUCAUGAAGUCGGAGUCGCUAGUAAUCGCAGAUCAGCAACGCUGCGGUGAAUACGUUCCCGGG